CAUUAAGUAUUUUAACAAAAAUUUUAGUUUUGGAGACUAAAGAUGAUUUAUCUUCCUUAUUGA
RNAcentral lists this transfer RNA (63 nucleotides) under Hemisphaerius rufovarius. RNAcentral describes it as "tRNA-Pro". Lineage: Eukaryota; Metazoa; Arthropoda; Insecta; Hemiptera; Issidae. The record is from RNAcentral.